CUACGGGUGGCUCCAGUGAGGAAUAUUGCACAAUGGAGGAAACUCUGAUGCAGCAACGCCGCGUGGAGGAUGACGCAUUUCGGUGUGUAAACUCCUUUUAAGAGGGAAGAUAAUGACGGUACCUCUUGAAUAAGCACCGGCUAACUCCGUGCCAGCAGCCGCGGUAAUACGGAGGGUGCAAGCGUUACUCGGAAUCACUGGGCGUAAAGGGUGCGUAGGCUGACUUUUAAGUCAGGUGUGAAAUCCAAUGGCUCAACCAUUGAACUGCACUUGAAACUGGGAGUCUAGAGUUCAGAAGGGGCAGAUGGAAUUAGUGGUGUAGGGGUAAAAUCCGUAGAUAUCACUAGGAAUAUCAAAAGCGAAGGCGAUCUGCUGGGAUGAUACUGACGCUGAGGCACGAAAGCGUGGGGAGCAAACAGGAUUAGAUACCCGUGUAGUC
This 439-nucleotide ribosomal RNA is filed under the name uncultured bacterium. RNAcentral describes it as "partial 16S ribosomal RNA". It matches the Rfam family "Bacterial small subunit ribosomal RNA", at positions 339 to 795 of the family's 1533-position model. The record is from RNAcentral.